Sturnus vulgaris (Common starling) is the source of this 80-nucleotide non-coding RNA. Lineage: Eukaryota; Metazoa; Chordata; Aves; Passeriformes; Sturnidae. The record is from RefSeq and is a predicted model, not a curated record.
CUGACCCUGGAUCCCUGGAAAUGUCCAAGGCCGGGGUGGAUGAGGCUUGGAGCAAUCUGGGAUAGUGGAAGGUGUCCCUG